RNAcentral lists this small RNA (125 nucleotides) under Marmota monax (woodchuck). The record is from RNAcentral. Lineage: Eukaryota; Metazoa; Chordata; Mammalia; Rodentia; Sciuridae.
GCCAGGUGCAGCGGUGCACACCUGUAAUCCCAGUGGCUCAGGAGGCUGAGGCAGGAGGAUUUUGAGUUCAAAGCCAGCCUGAGCAAAAGUGAGGUGCUAAGCAACUCAGUGAGACCUUGUCUCUA